This is a long non-coding RNA of Vulpes vulpes (red fox), 2522 nucleotides long. Lineage: Eukaryota; Metazoa; Chordata; Mammalia; Carnivora; Canidae. The record is from Ensembl.
UAGUUUGAUGAGAAGAGGGAGGAUGACUGUACCUAACACAUAUUGAGCUCUUACUCUACACUAAGCAGUAUUCCAUUUGCUCUCCAUAAUACCUCUGCAAGGUAAGUUGUUUGUUUGUUUGUUUUUGCAAAGUAAGUUGUAUGCAUUCCAUUCUACAGAGAAAGAACUAUGGCUUAAACUUUCAAAGAGACUUGGCCAAGUUUACAGUGCUGAGUCAUGGAACCAGGACCCUGAGACAAUGUGACUCCAAAGUCUAGGCUGUCUUAUUGAUUCUACCUAUUUAUUUUUCAAAUCACCAUCAAAGGAGUAUGAUUUCCAUAAUUAAAUGUCCCUUGGUCUCUUCCCUCCUUAUGUUGGCUCCACUCCCCCCUGCAAUGCCUCUGCUGUUCCUAAGCCCGAAGUCCUCUGGAAACACUAGGCUACCCCCUUGCCGCCCCCCGCCGCCCCUUGCUUAUAGGCAGGCCAUGCAAACAGACUAUAUUCAUUGGUGCUGCAGAAAACUCUUCCAGAUCAGGGCAAUAGUGAUAGCCACAGGGGGAACAGAGACUAAACUUCCCAUAUCCUCCAGAUAGAAUUAUUCUGUUUCCAGCAAUGUCCCUCAUAACCCAGGGCCAUUGUUUUCAGAGUGCUCUCUGGACAUAGCACCACAAGGUGCUAUGGAAGUAAAAAUUCUCAGGUCCCAGAACUGCCCAGUCAGAAACUCCGGGGUUGGGGCUGAGCAGUCCGUUUUCACAAGCCUUCCAGGUGAUUCUGAUGUUGCUAACCAUUGACCUAUAAUAUCUUCACAAGUGAGGGAUUAAAAUAACAGCCUACCUGAAAGCAUGCUAUGGGUUGCUCCUUCACAAAAGCAUCUGUAAGCAAGGUCAAAGAUGGCAGCCUUGGGGAAUCAUACUCUGAUGACGUCAGAUGCACUAUCACCUCAGGCUUCUGUAUGAGCAAGCCUCUAAAGUGGAGGGGCUUCGGUGCUGGGUUGGCAGUGAUCAUCUAAUGUUGCUUGCUGCUCUCAGGGAGCAUGUCCAGGGAGAUGGGCAGUGGCUGAGGCCAAGGGCCUCUCUGACACAUCCCUCUGAGUGCAUCAGUUCCUGCCUGGUGGUACGUGAUUGUACCCUAACUCACAGAGCAGCAUCCCUUUGCUUCUGCACCAGGAUGCUGUUCUACAGCUGGUCCAUAUCACAGAUCACCAGAAUGAGGAGGGGCACUCCUGGAGCCCCCUACACAACUCAGCAUCCUGGUGGCGAGGAAGAGCAUGGGAUCUGGGUGGACCACAUGGACUCCCCUCAGGCUUCAUCUUCACAAACCGAAUGACCUCUGGCAAGGGACUUACCCUCAGUUCUGCUUCUGUAAACUGCAGAUUUACCCCCAUAGGUCUAAUGUGAAAUUAGACGAAAAAAGCCUUUAAUUGUAAAGUGUUUGCACUAGUCCCUGGCAUGAAGUGCUCAAAAGUUGGUGAAGCUAAAGGAGAGUGGAGGGGUGGUGACCCAGGGAAAGAAGGAUGGAACGGAGUGCAUUCAAACCCCUCCACCAAUAUUCUGCAUCCGGGCAUUCCCAUGGCACCUACUACACACUGCUCUUAGCACUUCUAUGGUUAGACACCGCCCUCUCAAUGACCCCAUGAAAUGGGUGCUCUCUCUAUCUCCACAUCAAAGAUGAGAAGUCAGGCUCAGAGAGGUUGAGUGGGCAGUCCAAGGUCACACUGGCCAACAGGCGGUCAAGGGGAAGUAUGCCUUGGCUGGCUGGCUCCAGAGUCCCCAUUCUCAACCACUCCCCGCUCCCUAGGCCAUGUGAACUAAACACUUAAUCCUCCCAGCAACCCCAUGAGCUGGGCACCAGUAUGGUCUCCAGUGUGUGCGUGAAGAAAUUGAAGCAGGAAGAGGUUAACUGGUUUCAAGGUAGAGAAAACUUCACCUGAACUUAAUAUUACGGAUGCUUAGCAGCACCAGCAAUAAGAAGGAUCAGCACAUGCUGUGAUGCCUUAUGUACCAGGCACUGUCCUAACCACCGUGUCUAUCGUAGAUACAUUAACUUGCUGCAUCUUUUCAAUUACUCCAUGGCACGGAUUCUAUUAUGACUUUACCUGUUGCCUGAGGCCAAGCAUAAACAUCAGAAAUGGCUGCUGUAGGUGAGACAGGUGGUGAGGGGCAGAACAGAGACUCCACCCCAGGACAGGUUGGCUUCAGACCCUCCCUCGAAACCCCUGUGCUGUGCACAAACACACACACACACACACACGCACACACACACACACAUACACACACAUAAUCACACAAGAUACAAUAUUGAGCUAUGUUGUUAACUGCUAUUCUAUAUGUUAAAAGUCAAAUCAUUGGGCACCUGGGUGGCUCAGUCAGUGAAGCGUCUGCCUUCGGCUCAGGUCAUGAUCUCAGGGUCCCGGGAUCAAGCCCCAUGUUGGGCUCCCUGCUCAACGGAGAGUCUGCCUCUCCCUCUCCCUCUGCCCCUCCCCUUGCUCGUGUUCUCUCUCUCUCUCAAAUAAAUAAAUAAAAUCUUUUUUAAGAAAGGUAAAU